Molecule: ribosomal RNA, 530 nt
Filed under: uncultured prokaryote
Description: bacterial SSU rRNA
Rfam family: Bacterial small subunit ribosomal RNA
Source: RNAcentral
UGGGGAAUAUUGGGCAAUGGGCGCAAGCCUGACCCAGCGACGCCGCGUGAGGGAUGAAGGUCUUCGGAUUGUAAACCUCUUUCAGUGGGGAAGAAGCGAAAGUGACGGUACCCAAAGAAGAAGCACCGGCUAACUAUGUGCCAGCAGCCGCGGUAAUACAUAGGGUGCAAGCGUUGUCCGGAAUUAUUGGGCGUAAAGAGCUCGUAGGUGGUUUAUCACGUCGGAUGUGAAAUUCUGAGGCUCAACCUCGGACCUGCAUUCGAUACGGGCAAACUAGAGUGUGGUAGGGGAGACUGGAAUUCCUGGUGUAGCGGUGGAAUGCGCAGAUAUCAGGAGGAACACCAAUGGCGAAGGCAGGUCUCUGGGCCAUUACUGACACUGAGGAGCGAAAGCGCGGGGAGCGAACAGGAUUAGAUACCCUGGUAGUCCGCGCCGUAAACGGUGGGCACUAGUUGUGGGAACCUUCCACGGUUUCCGCGACGCAGCUAACGCAUUAAGUGCCCCGCCUGGGGAGUACGAUCGCAAGAUUA